RNAcentral lists this ribosomal RNA (254 nucleotides) under uncultured bacterium. Its description in RNAcentral is "partial 16S ribosomal RNA". It matches the Rfam family "Bacterial small subunit ribosomal RNA", at positions 524 to 775 of the family's 1533-position model. The record is from RNAcentral.
UACAGAGGUCUCGAGCGUUGUUCGGAUUCAUUGGGCGUAAAGAGCGUGUAGGCGGUUCGGUAAGUCUGUCGUGAAAUCCUGGAGGCUCAACCUCGGACGUGCGAUGGAUACUGCCGGGCUAGAGGAUGGUAGAGGCGAGUGGAAUUCCCGGUGUAGCGGUGAAAUGCGCAGAUAUCGGGGAGGAACACCAGUAGCGAAGGCGGGUCUCUGGACAGUUCCUGACGCUGAGGCACGAAGGCCAGGGGAGCAACGGG